GCACGGUCCAUCCUUAGUCCAACAUUACAAUACCUAGUUUACUCUAGCUGUUCCUAAAGAUACCAUGACUAAUAAUCAUAACUUGUUUCAUCUACAAACCUUUCUCAGUAUAGGUACAACACAACUCUAUGUUCUGUCCAGGUUUCUGCUCCUUUCCUAUGAACUACAGUAUAAUAUUUAAUUUAUUUCCAAGAUCACAGUAACAUGAAUAUCAGCAGAUGGCAUAAGUUAUCCCGCAAAAAAAAGCAGAUGGCAUAAGUUGGAAUUGUUGCCAUCAGAGUGCAAGUGUGCCAGCUCGGUACCGUCAAAUAAUCAACCAGCGCCAUUAACGAUCACACAUAAAUCCAAAGGAUGAGCACCCGAUUUUUUUUUUGUGCUAGCACGCAUAGCAUCCAGCAGCUUCCAGUCGGUGUACAGCAACAACAAUUGAUUAAAAAAGCAAUAGCAAGCAACAAAUCCCCACUGAACGCCCAGUGACUUCCCCUUCUACUCUUCGCCAUUCAUCUCGUCCUCACCACCCAGCGCCGUUCCGCCUCGAUCUUCCUCCUCCUCUACCUCACCUUCAAGCGCUGCUCCUCCUCCUCUUCUGCAUCCACCUCACCACCCAGCCACUUCCCGGCUGCCAAAGGUGGCGCGGGAAAUUCUGGCAGCAUCGGUGUGUGUGUUUGCUGUUGCGGCUGGGGCGGCGGCGGCCUGCUCAUCGGCUCACGGGGCCGGAGCGGAGUACCGGUGCAGUGGUGGUGGAGCCCCUCCCGGUGGGUGACUGGGAGCGACGGCGGGCUGCAGGGCUGGCAUGCAGUGGCGGCUCGGUUGCUCGCCAGAUCUGGCGGCCGGCCAGCACGCUCGGGGCUGGUUGGACCUAUGGCGGAGGCGAGGGAGGAGGUCUGGUGGUGCUGCUCGUCUGCCGGUGGCGGAAGGAUUCUGGGCGGCUUAGGUGGAAUCACCAAGUUUUCUCUUCCAUCAGCCCUCUCUCCUUCUUUAGGAUUAUUAGGACUUAGGGUAAGGCGUAGGCGCUGGGACAUUGGCGAGCGGCGGCAUGGUAAGGGUGCGGCGCCCUAGAGGUGGAAGAUGCGAUUGGAUCGUGGGUCAUGCGGCUAGGUAAGCUCGUUUUUUAUGUUCUGUCGCUCGUACGAUUUGGUCAUCUGAGCUGUGCGGGUUGGUUCUCAUCCUCGCUUCUCUCUCUGUUUUUUCACGGAGCCGCCAUCCUCCCAGCAAGGCUAGGACCGGCGGAGGCCGAGCGGCGGACUGAUUUGGUUUGUGGUGGUCGUCGGCUUGCCGGAGAGGGGCGAGGUGGUGACUGUCGACUUGCCGGAGAGGGAGGGGGAGGAGGAGGAGCCGCGGCACGGUCCGUCGGGUGAUGGGGCGCGAUUGUGGCGGUUGAGAGGACAGGAUAAAGAAGGGACGUGCGGCUGGUGUUUUCGCUAGCGAAUCGUUAUUUUACUUAGGUGCGGAUUGCGGGUUGAUUUUAUGUAAACCGAGGGGCUUUUUUGAAAAACUGCCACGACGACGGACGACCGAAACCCUAUUCUCUUUAUUAUUA
Long non-coding RNA from Triticum aestivum (bread wheat), 1540 nucleotides. RefSeq lists it as uncharacterized. NCBI's taxonomy places the organism in Eukaryota, Viridiplantae, Streptophyta, Magnoliopsida, Poales, Poaceae. The transcript is spliced from 2 exons. The record is from RefSeq and is a predicted model, not a curated record.